AUAUGCGAUAAGUCAUUCAAGUUUCUGCCCUAUCAGCUUUUGGAUGGUAGUGUAUUGGACUACCAUGGCAGUCACGGGUAACGGAGAAUUAGGGUUCGAUUCCGGAGAGGGAGCCUGAGAAACGGCUACCACAUCUACGGAAGGCAGCAGGCGCGCAAAUUGCCCAAUCCUGACACGGGGAGGCAGUGACAAGAAAUAACAACUCUAGGAUUUCUUAGAAGUGUAAUGAGGAUAAUUUACAAACCUUACCGAAUGCAAUUGGAGGGCAAGUCUGGUGCCAGCAGCCGCGGUAAUUCCAGCUCCAAUAGCGUAUAUUAAAAGUUGUUGCAGUUAAAAAGCUCGUAGUUGAAGUUCUGAUUGCUCAGGUUUCCAGCCUUAGGCGGAGAUACUGACAGUCAUCCGCUUGCAAACAUAUGUUCGAUCUUCACCGGUUGGCUAUGUGAGUAAGCACUUUACCUUGAGAAAAACAGAGUGUUCCAGGCAGGUUUGUCCGGGAUGCAUUAGCA
This 506-nucleotide ribosomal RNA is filed under the name uncultured eukaryote. Its description in RNAcentral is "SSU rRNA". It matches the Rfam family "Eukaryotic small subunit ribosomal RNA", at positions 283 to 809 of the family's 1831-position model. The record is from RNAcentral.